AUAAUGUUUCUUGCUCAAAUGAGUAUUCCAACAAACAGUUUGCAUUUUGCGUACAAAGAAUAUAUUUCACUCUUUCUUCUUUUCUUUAAUCACUCACUAUAUAUAUAUAUAUAUGUGUGGGUUUGAUUCUGCUGGUGGUGCUACUGUUUGUUUUGAGAUGCUCAUUUGAGCAAGCAAUAUUAA
Ricinus communis (castor bean) is the source of this 183-nucleotide non-coding RNA. The record is from Rfam. Lineage: Eukaryota; Viridiplantae; Streptophyta; Magnoliopsida; Malpighiales; Euphorbiaceae.